RNAcentral lists this ribosomal RNA (253 nucleotides) under uncultured bacterium. Its description in RNAcentral is "partial 16S ribosomal RNA". It matches the Rfam family "Bacterial small subunit ribosomal RNA", at positions 524 to 776 of the family's 1533-position model. The record is from RNAcentral.
UACGUAGGGUGCAAGCGUUAAUCGGAAUUACUGGGCGUAAAGCGCGUGUAGGCGGUUUGGUAAGUCCUGUGUGAAAGCCCUGGGCUCAACCCAGGAAGUGCGCAGGAUACUGCUUGACUGGAGUGACGGAGAGGAUGGCGGAAUUCCCGGUGUAGAGGUGAAAUUCGUAGAUAUCGGGAGGAACACCUGCGGCGAAGGCGGGUUGCUGGGCCGACACUGACGCUGAGGCGCGAAAGCUAGGGGAGCGAACGGG